AGUUAGCUUAUUGUAACUAAGAUCAAGUCUUCUCAAGCUUGUUAACUCAUUCAUCGAAUUUGGUAACCCAGAAAUCAAAUUAUGAGAAAGAUCAAGAGAAAGCAGAGAUUUUAAAGAAGUAAGCGAAGGUGGGACUGACCCAGAAAAUGAAUUGAGUCGAAGAACCAGGUUCUUGAGAUUUGGUAAAGAAGACAGAGAAGAAGGAAUUGGGCCAUAGAAAUUGUUGUUCUGAAGAUCAAGAGUAACAAGUUGAGUGAGUUUAGAAACUAACGGAGAAAGAGUCCCUGUGUAACCAGCAGGAUCAAGCGUAAGUUCAGUUACUCUGUUUCCAGAGCUACAAGAAAGGCCACAGGUGAAAUGGGUAACACGAGGAACAGAGCAAGGGUCUGUAGUGAAAUUCCAAGAACCUAAACAAGAAUAUGAAGGAAUAGAGGAAGGUUUAAUUGCGGCUUUAAAAGCUCGAAGAGCAAGUAUGUCUGUAGAAGGAGGAAUUGAUUGAACUGAUGAAAGUAAAAAAAGAAAGAGAAAGAAGAAAACAGAGGUUCUU
Molecule: unclassified non-coding RNA, 547 nt
Filed under: Hevea brasiliensis (rubber tree)
Lineage: Eukaryota; Viridiplantae; Streptophyta; Magnoliopsida; Malpighiales; Euphorbiaceae
Source: RNAcentral